This 494-nucleotide ribosomal RNA is filed under the name uncultured bacterium. Its description in RNAcentral is "partial 16S ribosomal RNA". It matches the Rfam family "Bacterial small subunit ribosomal RNA", at positions 28 to 523 of the family's 1533-position model. The record is from RNAcentral.
GAUGAACGCUAGCGGGAGGCCUAACACAUGCAAGCCGAGCGGUAUUGUUUCUUCGGAAAUGAGAGAGCGGCGUACGGGUGCGUAACACGUGUGCAACCUGCCUUUAUCUGGGGGAUAGCCUUUCGAAAGGAAGAUUAAUACUCCAUAAUAUAUUGAACGGCAUCGCUUAAUAUUGAAAGCUCCGGCGGAUAGAGAUGGGCACGCGCAAGAUUAGCUAGUUGGUGAGGUAACGGCUCACCAAGGCGAUGAUCUUUAGGGGGCCUGAGAGGGUGACCCCACACACUGGUACUGAGACACGGACCAGACUCCUACGGGAGGCAGCAGUGAGGAAUAUUGGUCAAUGGGUGCAGCCUGAACCAGCCAUCCCGCGUGAAGGACGACUGCCCUAUGGGUUGUAAACUUCUUUUGUAUAGGGAUAAACCUACCCUCGUGAGGGUAGCUGAAGGUACUAUACGAAUAAGCACCGGCUAACUCCGUGCCAGCCGCCGCAGUAA